AGCCACUGACUAACGCACAUUGCGCUUGUACUGGACUCCACUGUGCGUGUGACAGCGGCUAA
Molecule: microRNA precursor, 62 nt
Filed under: Lepisosteus oculatus (spotted gar)
Lineage: Eukaryota; Metazoa; Chordata; Actinopteri; Semionotiformes; Lepisosteidae
Description: Loc-Mir-210_pre stem-loop
Rfam family: mir-210 microRNA precursor family
Source: RNAcentral